UUGUUGUUACCUUUGAACAUGACCGUGAACACGUAACAUAAUGCUGCCGGGGAGUUCCAUCUCCUCGGCCCUGCCGGCCCCGGCUUAUUGGCUGGGUGUCGGAAAACGGCGCGGGAUGUCGCCAAGGAACACUGAUUUGCUGAGGCAGACGACAAUACGCUCGUACUGCUGACGCCAACUUAACAUUAUGACUCUCGGCAACGGAUAUCUCGGCUCUCGCAUCGAUGAAGAACGUAGCGAAAUGCGAUACGUGGUGUGAAUUGCAGAAUCCCGUGAACCAUCGAGUCUUUGAACGCAAGUUGCGCCCGAGGGAUCCUCCCGAGGGCACGCCUGCCUGGGCGUUAGAAGCCCAUCAACGCUCUGUCAACCUUUCUACAGAGGAUUGACUUGACGCGGACAAUGGACCUCCGAGCCGGCAAUGGCACGGCGGGCUGAAGUGAAUGGUCGUCGGAUGGUAACAGGAUCGGCGAGUGGUGGGCUACUGCGCAUGCCAAUCCCGGCUGCCAUUUCGACGUAUGGCCUCUAUACCCCAGUCGGAAACGAGGGGAUUGUUGUCACGGCAUCUUGUUGUGGGACAAUUUCGGACCGAUACCCCAGGUCAGGCGGGGCCACCCGCUGAGUUUAA
This 625-nucleotide ribosomal RNA is filed under the name Isolepis wakefieldiana. RNAcentral describes it as "eukaryotic LSU rRNA". The stretch from base 190 to 344 matches the Rfam family "5.8S ribosomal RNA". The record is from RNAcentral. Lineage: Eukaryota; Viridiplantae; Streptophyta; Magnoliopsida; Poales; Cyperaceae.